GAGAUGGGAAAUCUGAGGGAGAGGCUGUAAUUGACUUGUUAAAUGCUUGCGUGAAUGUUGAUAAUAUGGAUACAUUGAACUCGUCUGGGAUUGAGCAUAAGGAUUUGGAUAGCAUAGUAAGUGGCACAAAGACAAAUGGAGCUGAAAGCAGUGAUAAUGAAGUGGAAAGUAGAAUAAAAGAAGNNNNNNNNNNNNGGAGAUAUUGCACGGGCUUCCCGGCAUUAUAGAAGUGUUUCAAUGGAUAGCUACAUGGGAC
This 256-nucleotide unclassified non-coding RNA is filed under the name Hevea brasiliensis (rubber tree). The record is from RNAcentral. Lineage: Eukaryota; Viridiplantae; Streptophyta; Magnoliopsida; Malpighiales; Euphorbiaceae.